This 380-nucleotide ribosomal RNA is filed under the name uncultured cyanobacterium. Its description in RNAcentral is "bacterial SSU rRNA". It matches the Rfam family "Bacterial small subunit ribosomal RNA", at positions 376 to 770 of the family's 1533-position model. The record is from RNAcentral. Lineage: Bacteria; Bacillati; Cyanobacteriota.
CGAAAGCCUGACGGAGCAAUACCGCGUGAGGGAGGAAGGCUCUUGGGUUGUAAACCUCUUUUAUUAAGGAGGAAGAAAGUGACGGUACUUAAAGAAUAAGCAUCGGCUAACUCCGUGCCAGCAGCCGCGGUAAUACGGAGGAUGCAAGCGUUAUCCGGAAUCAUUGGGCGUAAAGCGUCCGCAGGUGGAAGUUAAAGUCGAUUGUCAAAGGCAGUAGCUUAACUACUGAAAGGCAGUGGAAACUAAACAACUAGAGUGCGGUAGGGGUAGAGGGAAUUCCCGGUGUAGCGGUGAAAUGCGUAGAGAUCGGGAAGAACACCAGUGGCGAAAGCGCUCUGCUGGACCGGCACUGACACUGAGGGACGAAAGCUAGGGGAGCG